GAUAAACGCUGGCGGCGUGCUUAACACAUGCAAGUCGAACGAAGUUUUUCCUUCGGGAGAAACUUAGUGGCGGACGGGUGAGUAACGCGUGGGUAACCUGCCCUGUACAGGGGGACAACAGCUGUAAACGGCUGCUAAUACCGCAUAAGCCCUUAGCACUGCAUGGUGCAUAGGGAAAAGGAGCAAUCCGGUACAGGAUGGACCCGCGUCUGCUUAGCCAGUUGGCAGGGUAACGGCCUACCAAAGCGACGAUCAGUAGCCGAUCUGAGAGGAUGUACGGCCACAUUGGGACUGAGACACGGCCCAGACUCCUACGGGAGGCAGCAGUGGGGAAUAUUGCACAAUGGAGGAAACUCUGAUGCAGCGACGCCGCGUGAGUGAAGAAGUAUUUCGGUAUGUAAAGCUCUAUCAGCGGGGAAGAAAAUGACGGUACCUGACUAAGAAGCACCGGCUAAAUACGUG
RNAcentral lists this ribosomal RNA (462 nucleotides) under uncultured bacterium. RNAcentral describes it as "partial 16S ribosomal RNA". It matches the Rfam family "Bacterial small subunit ribosomal RNA", at positions 28 to 507 of the family's 1533-position model. The record is from RNAcentral.